Molecule: ribosomal RNA, 301 nt
Filed under: uncultured bacterium
Lineage: Bacteria
Description: partial 16S ribosomal RNA
Rfam family: Bacterial small subunit ribosomal RNA
Source: RNAcentral
CAGUAGCCGCGGUAAUACGUAGGGUGCAAGCGUUAAUCGGAAUUACUGGGCGUAAAGCGUGCGCAGGCGGUUAUAUAAGUCAGAUGUGAAAUCCCCGGGCUCAACCUGGGAACUGCAUUUGAGACUGUAUGGCUAGAGUGUGUCAGAGGGGGGUAGAAUUCCACGUGUAGCAGUGAAAUGCGUAGAUAUGUGGAGGAAUACCGAUGGCGAAGGCAGCCCACUGGGAUAACACUGACGCUCAUGCACGAAAGCGUGGGGAGCAAACAGGAUUAGAUACCCCUGUAGUCCCUGUCUCUUAUAC